AGAGUUUGAUCAUGGCUCAGGAUGAACGCUGGCGGCGUGCUUAACACAUGCAAGUCGAACGAGGUCCAUCCAAACUUGUUUGGGGAAGAUCUAGUGGCGAACGGGUGCAUAACACGUGAGAAACCUGCCUCAGUCUCUGGGAUAACAGUUGGAAACGACUGCUAAUACCGGAUGCCGUCACACCAUCACAUGUUGGAGUGACGAAAGAUUUAUCGGAUUGAGAGGGUCUCGCGGCCUAUCAGCUAGUUGGAGAGGUAACGGCUCACCAAGGCAUCGACGGGUAGCUGGUCUGAGAGGAUGAUCAGCCACACUGGGACUGAGACACGGCCCAGACUCCUACGGGAGGCAGCAGUGGGGAAUCUUGCACAAUGGGCGAAAGCCUGAUGCAGCAACGCCGCGUGCGGGAAGAAGGCCCUAGGGUUGUAAACCGCUUUCAGUAGGGAAGAAAAUGACGGUACCUACAGAAGAAGGUGCGGCCAACUACGUGCCAGCAGCCGCGGUG
This 502-nucleotide ribosomal RNA is filed under the name uncultured Actinomycetes bacterium. Its description in RNAcentral is "bacterial SSU rRNA". It matches the Rfam family "Bacterial small subunit ribosomal RNA", at positions 8 to 522 of the family's 1533-position model. Lineage: Bacteria; Bacillati; Actinomycetota; Actinomycetes. The record is from RNAcentral.